GGACCCUGAAUCACUCUACCCAUUUCCUGGGCCCUGGACCCUGAAUCGCUCUACCCAUCUCCUGGGCCCUGGACCCUGAAUCACUCUACCCAUCUCCUGGGCCCUGGACCCUGAAUCACUCUACCCAUCUCCUGGGCCCUGACCCAUGAAUCGCUCUACCCAUCUCCUGGGCCCUGGACCCUGAAUCACUCUACCCAUCUCCUGGGCCCUGGACCCUGAAUCGCUCUACCCAUUUCCUGGGCCCUGGACCCUGAAUCGCUCUACCCAUCUCCUGGGCCCUGGACCCUGAAUCACUCUACCCAUCUCCUGGGCCCUGGACCCUGAAUCACUCUACCCAUCUCCUGGGCCCUGACCCAUGAAUCGCUCUACCCAUCUCCAGGGCCCUGGACCUUGAAUCACUCUACCCAUCUCCUGGGCCCUGGACCCUGAAUCACUCUACCCAUCUCCUGGCUCUGGACCCUGAAUCACUCUACCCAUCUCCUGGGCCCUGACCCAUGAAUCACUCUACCCAUCUCCUGGGCCCUGGACCCUGAAUCACUCUACCCAUCUCCUGGGCCCUGGACCCUGAAUCACUCUAACCAGCUCCUGGGCCCUGGACCCUGAAUCACACCUCUCUCAUCUCCCCGUGCCCUGUUUUAAAAUAUUUCUAUUUUACCAGGUAAGGCCCACUGGGCUUCACAGCGUCUUUUUUCAGAAGCGACCUGGUCACAAAUUGAAGCUUAAUGAAGCGGCUUAUCGCGUGGAAAAUUCAUAGCAGCCAAACACUCUGAACGCACGUUUCUAAAUGUGGAGGGAAAAACCGGAGGACCCGGAGAAAACGUGAUCACGGGGAGCGAGAGAGAGAGAGACGCAAACUCCAGAUAUACAGCAGUAGGCGUCAGGGUCGGGAUUUAACCCGUGACCUCCUGUAGACCAGGCGAGGUAGUUAACAUCUCCUAGCCACCGUGAUGAUGAUGAGCGAGAGACACGCAAACUCCAAAUAUACAGCAGCAGGCGUCAGGGUCGGGAUCGAACCCACGACCUCCUGUAGACCAGGCGAGGUAGUUAACAUCUCCUAGCCACCGUGAUGAUGAUGAGAGAGAGACACGCAAACUCCAAAUAUACAGCAGCAGGCGUCAGGGUCGGGAUUUAACCCACGACCUCCUGUAGACCAGGCGAGGUAGUUAACAUCUCCUAGCCGCCGUGGGGCCCACAUGGCUGGCAGUCACCAUCGAUUUGUGUGCCAUCGUCGGACACGGCGAGGGUUGGGGUUGUCGUUCAGGGAGCAGAUUUAGCGUCGAGUUGUUGGGUUAGAUGCUCGGGUUAGGUUCAGGGUAGAGUUAGGAUCAAAGUUUAGGGCUUAGGAUUGUGAGGGUUAGGUUUGGGGGGGGGGGGUGAGCAGCUUUAGGAUAGUGGCAGGACCCAUAGGUUUUAUGAUUCUGUGCGUAGAUUUUAAUCUUUAGGGGGCGAUCUGCCCACCGAUGUAAUCAUCGCAAUGAUUCCAGCAACAGCUGUCGUUCCCUCGGUUUCUCUCGGAUGGCGGGCAGACUCGGACUGAUGGUCUGCCUGACUAGUGUGGUGAUGUCUGGGAUAUGUGGGAGUCUGUUUAGCCGCGUGUGUGUGUGUGUCCAACUGUGAGUCCAAGCGUGGUGUAGUGGAUCUGUCUUAACCAGCGGUCGGGAACCUAUGGCUCGCGAGCCAUAUAUGGCUCUUUCGGUGACGGCAUAUGGCUGCUCCUAGACAAUUUUGAGUUGAAAAAAAAUAAACCAAAAAAUCAGUUUGGAACUGAUUUUUAAAUACUUGUGAUAUUGCUUAAUAAUAUUGUGUCGUUUUAAAGUAAACAGAAAUUAGUUUUGAAGAUAAAUUUCACGGGUCACGGGGCCUCAACGCCUGCACGAAGCUCAACCUCACCACGUACGAACCAGACUACAAGGCCAUCAGCAAAACCACGCAGCACCAGAAGUCGCAUUAAAAGACAUUUAAUUUAUUAUACGUUAAAAUUACUAUAUGGCUCUCAAUGCAAUAUAUUUAGAAAAAUUUGGCUUUUAUGGCUCUCCCAGUCAAAAAGGUUCCCGACCCCUGGUCUUAACUGUGUGUCUGCGUAACUCUGCGAGUCUGAAUAACUGUGUGAGUCUUAUUCUAGGGCUUUUUCGGUAAAGUCACGUAGGUAAAAACAUUAAAAAGUAAAAUAAAAGAAAAAUCACGACGUUUCGGAGGCAACACAAGCAGCUUCCGUCUUCAGGUGGUACCGUCACAGCCACGACAACUGUAUCAAGUAAAUGAGAGAUUGCAGAAGCUACCACUCCGUUUAUAUAAUGGUUGGAGAGGGUGGUGGGGCAAGGGCCGCAUACUUUUUAUUAAUAUGGUAAGGUGAGGCUUAAGACUAAGAAUAGACUGCAUAACAAAGGCUGAGCCUUUGUUAUGGAGAGGUGCGGUUUGUGUGUAUAAAUAUACAAACACAGACAUAUAAUUUCAACCGUGAUGACGGUUACAAACUGAGUAAUCAUUGGAAAGAUGUGAUUAACCAUGCAAAAAAGAUUUAUCGACACUUAUUUGCCAAUCUUAUUUGACAGACAACCAUCACAGUUUUACCAUGUCUAGUGGUGGUCUCCCUGUCACAGGUUGAGUCACAAACCGUGGCUCAGCCUUUGUUAUGCAGUCUAUUCUUAGUCUUAAGCCUCACCUUGCCAUAUUAAUAAAAGUAUGCGGCCCUUGCCCCACCACCCUCUCCAACCAUUAUAUACACGGAGUGGUAGCUUCUGCAAUCUCUCAUUUGCUUGAUACAGCUGUCGUCGCUGUGACGGUACCACCUCAAGACGGAAGCUGCUUGUGUUGCCUCCGAAACGUCGUGAUUUUAUUUUACUUUUUAAUGUUUUUACCUACGUGACUUUACCGAAAGAGCCUUAGAAUAUGAAUCGUUGCAGUCACGAAAGCUUCAAAUCUAGAAUGUACGAGUCUUAACUGCGCGGUGUCGGCAAUCGGUGUGGCCUGUGUGGUUAUUCGCCUCGUUCGAUGCGUGCGGAGCGGCCGUGUCGCGCUAUGAACCCGGCCACACGAUUUCAAAUCCCGCUCAUUGGCGACGGUUAUUUGAUCUGGUCCUGCGCCUCCCCCCCCCUAGGUCGACUCGGCCUCAAAUGAGUACCUGGUGCGGUGUGUAAGCAUCACCACUGGGGAGACAAAGGCGGCCGGGCGUGGUGCUGGCCACCCACCCCCCUCGUGUGCCACCGUGCCUGGUCGUAGUGUGGGUCUGUGCGACCCAAUUUGCAUUCUGACAUUUUCUGCUGAAAUAAAGUUUACAGUCGCUUA
Lethenteron reissneri (Far Eastern brook lamprey) is the source of this 3285-nucleotide long non-coding RNA. RefSeq lists it as uncharacterized. NCBI's taxonomy places the organism in Eukaryota, Metazoa, Chordata, Hyperoartia, Petromyzontiformes, Petromyzontidae. The record is from RefSeq and is a predicted model, not a curated record.